CGCAAAGCCGCGAGGUGGAGCAAAUCCCAAAAAGUCGUCUCAGUUCGGAUCGCAGGCUGCAACCCGCCUGCGUGAAGUCGGAAUUGCUAGUAAUCGCGGAUCAGCAUGCCGCGGUGAAUACGUUCCCGGGCCUUGUACACACCGCCCGUCACACCAUGAGAGUCGGUAACACCCGAAGUCGGUAGCCUAACCGCAAGGAGGGCGCCGCCGAAGGUGGGAUUGAUGAUUAGGGUGAAGUCGUAACAAGGUAUC
Molecule: ribosomal RNA, 252 nt
Filed under: uncultured bacterium
Lineage: Bacteria
Description: partial 16S ribosomal RNA
Rfam family: Bacterial small subunit ribosomal RNA
Source: RNAcentral